RNAcentral lists this ribosomal RNA (225 nucleotides) under uncultured bacterium. Its description in RNAcentral is "partial 16S ribosomal RNA". It matches the Rfam family "Bacterial small subunit ribosomal RNA", at positions 111 to 339 of the family's 1533-position model. The record is from RNAcentral.
UAACGCGUAGAUAACAUACCUUUUACUGGGGGAUAACAUCUGGAAACGGGUGCUAAUACCGCAUAAGUGCAGAGCUGAGAUGUUUUGCAUAAAAGAUUUAUUGGUAAGAGAUUGGUCUGCGUUGGAUUAGCUAGUUGGUGGGGUAAAGGCUUACCAAGGCGAUGAUCCAUAGUUGGUCUGAGAGGAUGACCAGCCACAGUGGGACUGAGACACGGCCCACACUCC